This 1109-nucleotide long non-coding RNA is filed under the name Homo sapiens (human). RNAcentral's name for it is "HSALNT0153232". Lineage: Eukaryota; Metazoa; Chordata; Mammalia; Primates; Hominidae. The record is from RNAcentral.
AAAUGUAACUCCAACUAAAAUUCCCCUCAGCCAGGGCCACAACUACCCUAAUAUCUCCAGGCAAGAGGCAGAGUGGGAUGGAAGGAAUCAGAGGGUAGACAGAAGUCUUCACUGACUAUUUUUACAAUAUUUUACUUUUGAAAGUUUUACAGAAAUUGAGGAUCAUGUAAAUACCGUGUUGGUUUCUUGUCCAGAUUCUGAAUCUGGAACUUUCUUGGUUCCAAACAACUGAAUAUUUUCUCACAUAUUUUUGAUACAUCGUUUUUAGUCGUUUUCUUCCCCCAAAUGACCAAAGCCAGCUUCUGAUAUCUUUUUAAAACAGUAAUUCAGGUAGAUGAUAAACUAUCACACAAAUCCUUUGUCUUACUUUUCCAAACAGAUCUCUGAGAGUCCAGCUACCUCAGAAUAGAAGAGCCUUGUGCUGUUGCUGGGAACCCAAAGAUUUUGACAGUGAAAUAAAUUGUGUUGGGGCCCUCAGGGUAUUUUUAUUAAAGUAAGAUUAUACGAUGCAUUGUAAGAGCAGAGAUUAUACAUCCUGAAAAACAGUCUUUUACAAAUAUAACGAUUAUAUUAUUUUGGCAUGCUUUUGACACCCAUUUGUGAAACUGAAGUUAGUUACUUAAACUUAUUUGAUUUGAGAAAUUUUACAUUAUCUCUGGGAUUAAAACCCAAAGAUGAUAAAUGUUGAAUUUAAAAAGCAUUGUGUUAAUUCAUCAUUUAGUUCAAAGACUGUCAUAUGGAGAUAUUUUCUUUCAAAUUGAGAAGCCAUUAUCUACACAUACAUAAGCAUUUUCUUCUAUAAUGUAAGCUUGAUAUGGUAUGAUAGUCUGAUAGAUUUUAAUUUCCUUGGAUUAGUUAAUGUAGGCUUUCCUAGAUAGAGAUGAAAAUAUUAUUUAUAUUAUAAUCUACUUGAAAUAACAUGGAUUUAGAAAUUCUUCCUUUGAUAGUGGAAAAACCCUGAAAGAUCACUUAAUUAAAAAGUUACAAAUUAGUAGAUAACCCAUUGCUUAUAUAGAAAAGGUAGGUUGGGGGAUUUAUAUACAGUUUUAGUUCUCUGAUUUGAUUAUUCUACAAUGUUAUACCUAUAUUAAAAGAUCACAUUGCACCCA